This 892-nucleotide ribosomal RNA is filed under the name Emericellopsis salmosynnemata. Its description in RNAcentral is "LSU rRNA". It matches the Rfam family "Eukaryotic large subunit ribosomal RNA", at positions 38 to 963 of the family's 3401-position model. The record is from RNAcentral. Lineage: Eukaryota; Fungi; Ascomycota; Sordariomycetes; Hypocreales; Bionectriaceae.
GCAUAUCAAUAAGCGGAGGAAAAGAAACCAACAGGGAUUGCCCCAGUAACGGCGAAGUGAAGCGGCAACAGCUCAAAUUUGAAAUCUGGCCUCGUGCCCGAGUUGUAAUUUGUAGAGGAUGCUUUUGGCGACGCGCCUUCCGAGUUCCCUGGAACGGGACGCCAUAGAGGGUGAGAGCCCCGUCCGGUCGUGCGCCUAGCCUCUGUAAAGCUCCUUCGACGAGUCGAGUAGUUUGGGAAUGCUGCUCUAAAUGGGAGGUAUACGUCUUCUAAAGCUAAAUACCGGCCAGAGACCGAUAGCGCACAAGUAGAGUGAUCGAAAGAUGAAAAGCACUUUGAAAAGAGGGUUAAAUAGUACGUGAAAUUGCUGAAAGGGAAGCGCUUAUGACCAGACUUGGGCGCGGCGGAUCAUCCGGCGUUCUCGCCGGUGCACUCCACCGCCCCAGGCCAGCAUCAGUUCGCGCCGGGGGACAAAGGCUUCGGGAAUGUGGCUCUCUCGGGAGUGUUAUAGCCCGCUGCGUAAUACCCUGGCGCGGACUGAGGUCCGCGCUCUGCAAGGAUGCUGGCGUAAUGGUCAUCAGUGACCCGUCUUGAAACACGGACCAAGGAGUCGUCUUCGUAUGCGAGUGUUCGGGUGUCAAACCCCUACGCGGAAUGAAAGUGAACGUAGGAGAGAGCUUCGGCGCAUCUCCGACCGAUCCUGAUGUUCUCGGAUGGAUUUGAGUAAGAGCAUACGGGGCCGGACCCGAAAGAAGGUGAACUAUGCCUGUGUAGGGUGAAGCCAGAGGAAACUCUGGUGGAGGCUCGCAGCGGUUCUGACGUGCAAAUCGAUCGUCAAACAUGGGCAUGGGGGCGAAAGACUAAUCGAAUCUUCUAGUAGCUGGUUUCGCGAG